GGCCAUACUAACUCGAUCAAGUCCUGCGGAGACCUUAAAUGUUGAGGAGAUUCUGAUCAGAAAUGUCCUGGAAUCACAGCUUUUAAAUUUUUCAACAACAAUUCCCAAUGGAUCACCUGAACUGAACUCUUUUACUAUUGACUCUUCAGAGAGUUGUCCUACCAGACAAUCAGUGGUGGAUGGCUAUUGUGUCAAUUGUGGUCCAGGAAAUUUCUUCAAUAGCAAUACAAUUGUUUGUGAGGAUUGUCCAGUGGGAACGUACCAGGAUCAGGAUGACCAGACUUCCUGUACUCCAUGUCCGCAGGGAUUCACAACACAGACUGUAGC
Molecule: long non-coding RNA, 327 nt
Organism: Magallana angulata
Lineage: Eukaryota; Metazoa; Mollusca; Bivalvia; Ostreida; Ostreidae
Exons: 3
Source: RefSeq, a predicted model, not a curated record